ACAAAAAACUAAAAUAUUAUUAACUUAAUAAAAUCAUCCAUUACAUAAUCAUUCAUUAUCUUUACAAUUAAUAAUGCACAUUUAUUCAACAAACACAAACACAAGUACACUAUAAAAUAAAACAUAAAAAAUAUUAUAUACAUCAUUUAAAAUCAUUCACAUUACAACUCAAGACUUAACAAUUGCUUAAUCAAAUUUAGAGCAAAUUUAUUGUCACAAAUUUGGCCUCAUGGAGACCCACAUGCCACAUCAUCCAAUAGCCUUUUUGCCGAUUCAAAAAUCAGAGAAGGAAGAAAAACACCAGACCACCUGCCAAACUUAAAACACAGAGAUGACAAAUGAGCAUAAGAUGGAAGAAUAUCCACUAUACCAAUAAGCCUAUAAAAAGAACAGAAAAGCUACAUGCACCUAAUUUAUACACAUGAUCAUGCAGCCAAACAGAUCACACAUCAAGUUGAUAACAAACAUAAUUAACUUGCCAAUAAUAUCCGAAGUAACUUAUACAUCAGCAAGUACAAAAACUUAGGCAUUGUAGUAAAUGUUACCAAACGGAAGGGAAAUAAUAUUGUAGUAAUUGUUACCAAACGGAAGGGAAAUAAUAUUGGGUAAAAUUCUGGACCGAACAAAUUAUUCAUCUCAAAUAUCGAGCCACAAAACAUUCUAUUGGACAAAAAAAUUCAAUGCCGAAGUCUCUGAUUUGAAUUAUCCAGGCAUGAUACUACAAUACAAUACAAUCACCAUGUUAAUAUGCUUCCAUACCUCAAACUCUCUUGCCAUACCUCAAACUCUCUUGCCAUUUUAAAUACGGUAAAAUGGAGAGACAGAAUUAUAUAAAAUAUCUCCAAAACAUUUUACCACCUAUAUUAUCAUAUCAUAUUAGAAACAAAAACAACAACAAUCACAAGACAGAAAAGGAUAGCAGCAGCAUUAUCAGUUGUAAUACACAUUGAUACAACCAAAGAUGCAUAUUGAAAUUAUUUCCAAAGCUUCUCAUAUCCACAAUGCUCUUGUUGGGACAAACAAAAAGAAAAUUAAUGCCAGUCAGCCCUUCAUCAACCAUUUUUUUAUCUAGCCCCUGUACACUACCAAUGCCCACCNN
Molecule: long non-coding RNA, 1099 nt
Filed under: Panax ginseng (ginseng)
Lineage: Eukaryota; Viridiplantae; Streptophyta; Magnoliopsida; Apiales; Araliaceae
Description: long non-coding RNA (PGIN_LNC016504)
Source: RNAcentral